GGGUGAUUAGCUCAGUUGGUAGAGCGCUUCGUUUACACCGAAGAUGUCGGGAGUUCGAGUCUCUCAUCACCCA
The sequence is a transfer RNA, 73 nucleotides long. It matches the Rfam family "tRNA". From Rfam's summary of the family: Transfer RNA (tRNA) molecules are approximately 80 nucleotides in length. The record is from Rfam.